GACGAACGCUGGCGGCGUGCUUAACACAUGCAAGUCGAACGGUGACGGUGGGAGCUUGCUCCUACCUGAUCAGUGGCGAACGGGUGAGUAACACGUGAGUAACCUGCCCCAGACUCUGGA
Molecule: ribosomal RNA, 120 nt
Filed under: uncultured bacterium
Lineage: Bacteria
Description: partial 16S ribosomal RNA
Rfam family: Bacterial small subunit ribosomal RNA
Source: RNAcentral